This is a long non-coding RNA of Homo sapiens (human), 3270 nucleotides long. RefSeq lists it as uncharacterized. The transcript has 5 exons. NCBI's taxonomy places the organism in Eukaryota, Metazoa, Chordata, Mammalia, Primates, Hominidae. The record is from RefSeq and is a predicted model, not a curated record.
UGCCCACCUCUGCCUCCCAAAGUGCUGGGAUUACAGGUGUGAGCCACCGCACCCAGUCAGCUCACUUAAUUUUCAUGGAAUACAGUGGGCAUUAUGAUCCCAAUUUUACAAGUGAGAAAACUGAGAAGGAGAGAGGUCCCCAAAGUUGCCUAAAGUCACACAGUAAGUGGUAGAGUCAGGAUUCCAGCUGAAGUCUGCUUCCAAAUCCCACCUUCUAACCGCUGCCACUAGACUGCUGUGUCUGCUGGGGUGUUAGGUCACAGGAGAAAAGAGAUAAUGGCUUUGUGACCCGGGAGCUCCGCCUUCACCUCCUCCUGCCAUCCUCAGCAUGAGCCAGCUGCAUGAGGGGUGCUGUGUGCUGGGCUGGAGGAUGGAGCCAUGUGCCACUCCCUCCGAGGCACGCUGUGAAGGUGCAAGUGGUGUGUUCUGAGAGUGCGGAGGAUGAAAACUUCUCACCCAGCUUUCUACAUUCAAGUUUACAAGUGCUGCUCAGGACCCACUGAUUAUUUCCAGGGGAAGAUCACCAAACCGCCUAAGGCCGAGACUCCCAGGAUAGCGCAGCAUGCCCCGGAGUCCCCCAGCUCGAUUUGCUCAGAACUCAGAAAGAAAACAGCCCACACUCCUUGAACUUCAGGCACUGAUGGAGGCAUUUUCCAAAGAACAGUGACAAGGACGGCCAGCACCUCUCUUGCAUUCCUCAGUCUGACUCAAGCUGCUCUUCCACCCUCCUCCCCAGCUGGAGCUGAGGCUGAAGGCAGUUGAGGGCCACCAGGGAGAAGAGCUGGGUCAGGGCCGUGACUUGCCAGCAAGCAUGAGGCCAAGCAGAUGUGCCGGAACAGCUGUGGUGACAGAGCUGUGGCCAACUGCUCCCUGGGCCGAGGGUGAAGGAAGCUGUGCUCCCACUGGUGCUAGGGAAGGCUGCUGCAGGGCUGGAGGCCUGGGUGCUGGACUGCUGGGGCAGGCUGCCUGCUGUACCCCCAAGCUGCAGUCAGGGCUCGCCCUGAGGCCCUGAGGUGGAGAGAGAGCAGCUGUCUCGUACACACCCAUGUGCACAAGUGCAGGCACACACACACACACACACACACACACAAAAGACGUUCUCACUUCAUCCCCGAAUUCUCCCUCCUACACACAAAGCUAGUUCCCAGUUCUCCAGUCCCCCUCCAUCCCUCUCCACUUCUGUAGUCUCUGCUGGGCUGCACUGGGGAUCUGGUCCCAAUUCCCCUCUCUUCCCUUGCUGCCCCUGUAACAAAGGGCUGGCCAUGUGACAUGAUCUCCUCAGGCUUCAGAGAAGUGAUUUUACCCUGAGCUACACAGGCAGGAAGACCACCAGCCUGGAAGGCAGGACGUACGAAUGAUGUUAUUUCUGGCAAGGAGGACACGGCUGCUGUGGUUGAUUGGCUGUGGAAUUCCAGGGGAGCAAGGCACUAGGAAGUGGGGAACGCUGCCAGGCCCAGCAGCUCAUCAGGAGCUUGCACUUGGCCCAGUUAGGGCUGGCCGUGGGACGGGCUUGUUGAAGCUGCUGCCGCCAUAAGCUGCCCCUCUGCACCAGGAGACAGAUCCCAUUACCCCACCUACAGCUGCUUCCUGGUACAAGAGAAGAGUUACCAUUUGAAAUGACUCCACAGGAGAGUCUGACAAACAUGUUUGCUUUUCACUGACAAUUAAAAUUGUUUUGCUGCUAAUCUUGUUUUAUUGUGGUCUUUCAUCCAUCAGCAAGCAUCCCUGCACGCAAGAUCAGAGUUGGGUAAAUACAUCCAGACCCUGCCAGGAUUAGGGCAAGAGGGAGUGCUCUGGGCCGGCAGAUCUUUUUCGGAAAUUCUCACUUCUUGGAGCACUAAAGGGUUGUUAGUCUAUCUGGGCAAGCCUCGUUUCCCUGGAGAAAAUGGAGUCUCAGAGAUUAGUGACUGGUCCUAGAGCUAAUGAGUGACCAAAGUGUGACCAGAGCCCAGGUCUGCUUCUCAACCCAGGGCACUUUGAUUCCAGAUUGAGAUGUAAGGUGACAGGUGCCUUAAUAGUGGCGCAAAAGAUGUGCAUUCCCCUCUUCCUCCCUCCCCGCUCCCUGCUCCCCCAGCGGCACCCUGACCUUCCUCAAAUGCAGAAUCAAGAUUUCAGCAGGGGGGCCAGCCCUUUCCCUGCCCCACCCUCCUCGAAUUCAGUGACUCAGGAGUGGGAAGGGGGUUAGCUAUGCCCUUAGAAGGGGGCCAGCUUCUGCAGAGGCCACUGGAAAACUCAUCAGGAUUCUCACUCACAAAGCCACUGCCACAUUCUAAGUAGGAAGUCGGAGUUGGAAAUGAGGCUGGUGUGAGACACAAUAAAUGGCUCAUCGCCAGGAAACUGGGGAGUAGGGCGGCCAAGGGAGGGCGGCGAGCGUGGAAUCCCAAGGCUAAGUCACGUCCCUCCCAUCCUCAGGACUGGGCUGUUGCUCUGGUGAGAUGAAUGAAGAUCCUGCUCCACGGCGUCACAGGUGGAUGCUUACAUAGAAUGCCGGGCUCUGGGGGACUUGACGUGGUUUCAGCCGCUGCAGCAUCGCCCCACAGAGAUUCUGUGCUCUUCCUGUUCACCAGCCCGCUGUCUGCCAUGGGGAUUGGUCACGUGUUAACCACCUUUCGUUCAAGCUGUUUCGGGAUCAGACUUUUCCUUCUCUGGUACAUGGGAGACCUUUCCUCUCUGCAGCUCCUGAAUGUACAAAGCCCCUGGUGCCUACCCGUGGUUACUGUGUGUGUGUGUGUGUGUGUGUGUGUGUGUGUGUGUCUGUGCGCGCGCGCGCGCGUGCGUACACCUGGGAACGGUUAUGCACACCCUCACAGGACUGCAUCCACACAAGCUACUCGGCGUGGUGGGCUGGGCCGAGAGACAGUCAGCUGGUCUCUUUGCUAAGCUACCAGAAGUCGGCUAACAAAAUGAAAAAACUUCUCCAGCAGGGGGCGCUGGUUCCUAAGUCAGAGAAAGGAUUUCGGGGAACACAAGGCACGGAUGCUUCAUCUCCCGAGGACCCGGGAGGCCUCCUGAGCCUUUGCUGAGCUUUCCCUGGUGCUCCUUUUUGCAGUCCAGCGAAUCCAGGGGACUGGGGCACACUGCAAGGGGUUGUGGUGGUGCUGGGGCUGCCAGAGGAGUGUCCCAACCAAGAAACUGGCGAAGCUGCAGACUCGACCUAGCAGUCCCCCACCUCUGGCCCACAGAGUUGGAGCCAGGCCCUGUCUUGGUUCUCAAUGCACUCAAAAGCUUAAAUCCUAGUAAACCCUCCACUGCGGAGCGAGAAAAGCCAAA